Molecule: ribosomal RNA, 513 nt
Filed under: uncultured bacterium
Lineage: Bacteria
Description: bacterial SSU rRNA
Rfam family: Bacterial small subunit ribosomal RNA
Source: RNAcentral
AGAGUUUGAUCAUGGCUCAGAACGAACGUUGGCGGCGUGGAUUAGGCAUGCAAGUCGAACGAAUCCCCGCUUUGUAGCAAUACAGAGUGGGGGGAAGUGGCGAAAGGGGCAGUAAUGUAUGGGUAACCUACCCGGGGGUCGUGGAUAGCCUUCCUAACGGAUGGGUAAUACACGGCGAUUCGUCGAGGCGGCAUCACCUUGACGGGAAAGAAUUUCGCCUCCGGAGGGGCUCAUAUCGUAUUAGCUAGUUGGUGAGGUAACGGCUCACCAAGGCGAAGAUGCGUAGCGGGUGUGAGAGCACGACCCGCGCCACUGGCACUGAGACACUGGCCAGACACCUACGGGUGGCUGCAGUCGAGGAUCUUCGGCAAUGGGCGCAAGCCUGACCGAGCGACGCCGCGUGGAGGAUGAAGGCCUUCGGGUUGUAAACUCCUGUCGAGGGGGAUCAAGGGAAACUUGAGUGAUCCCUGGAGGAAGCACGGGCUAAGUUCGUGCCAGCCGCCGCGGUAAUUC